UACAGAGGGGGCAAGCGUUGUUCGGAAUUACUGGGCGUAAAGGGCGCGUAGGCGGCCGCCUAAGUCAGACGUGAAAUCCCUCGGCUCAACCGGGGAACUGCGUCUGAUACUGGGUGGCUUGAAUCCGGGAGAGGGAUGCGGAAUUCCAGGUGUAGCGGUGAAAUGCGUAGAUAUCUGGAGGAACACCGGUGGCGAAGGCGGUUCUCUGGGCCUGUACUGACGCUGAGGAACGAAAGCGUGGGGAGCGAACAGG
RNAcentral lists this ribosomal RNA (253 nucleotides) under uncultured bacterium. Its description in RNAcentral is "partial 16S ribosomal RNA". It matches the Rfam family "Bacterial small subunit ribosomal RNA", at positions 524 to 776 of the family's 1533-position model. The record is from RNAcentral.